GGGCGGUUAGCUCAGCUGGGAGAGCGCGGCGUUCGCAUCGCCGAGGUCGAGGGUUCGAUCCCCUUACCGUCCACCA
Molecule: transfer RNA, 76 nt
Filed under: Oscillibacter sp.
Lineage: Bacteria; Bacillati; Bacillota; Clostridia; Eubacteriales; Oscillospiraceae
Also listed under: 12 other names
Description: tRNA-Ala
Rfam family: tRNA
About the family: Transfer RNA (tRNA) molecules are approximately 80 nucleotides in length. Their secondary structure includes four short double-helical elements and three loops (D, anti-codon, and T loops).
Source: RNAcentral